UGGGGAAUAUUGCACAAUGGGCGCAAGCCUGAUGCAGCCAUGCCGCGUGUGUGAAGAAGGCCUUCGGGUUGUAAAGCACUUUCAGCGGGGAGGAAGGCGAUAAGGUUAAUAACCUCAUCGAUUGACGUUACCCGCAGAAGAAGCACCGGCUAACUCCGUGCCAGCAGCCGCGGUAAUACGGAGGGUGCAAGCGUUAAUCGGAAUUACUGGGCGUAAAGCGCACGCAGGCGGUCUGUCAAGUCGGAUGUGAAAUCCCCGGGCUCAACCUGGGAACUGCAUUCGAAACUGGCAUGCUAGAGUCUUGUAGAGGGGGGUAGAAUUCCAGGUGUAGCGGUGAAAUGCGUAGAGAUCUGGAGGAAUACCGGUGGCGAAGGCGGCCCCCUGGACAAAGACUGACGCUCAGGUGCGAAAGCGUGGGGAGCAAACAGG
Molecule: ribosomal RNA, 429 nt
Filed under: Chloroflexota bacterium
Lineage: Bacteria; Bacillati; Chloroflexota
Description: Chloroflexi bacterium partial 16S ribosomal RNA
Rfam family: Bacterial small subunit ribosomal RNA
Source: RNAcentral